AACUUCCUUCUCGUGAAUUCAAAUGGGCGCAGUGGAAGUGAGGUGGCGCAGGGAGAAUGGGUCAAGGUGGUUUCAUUAUUUAAACCAACCUAAUUGAACCAAAUAAGUUAGGCGCAAUUAGACUAAUUUAAACUCAACUAAAUUAGCUUUAAUUAGGCUUAAUAAAAGCCUAAUCAAAUCAAGAAUUGAUUAAGCCCAACCCCUGAUCAAAUCAGGGAUCAAACCAUCUCGACGAUUAGGUCAACUCUUAACCUAAUCGGGUCAAACCCAACUGAAUCCAAUUCAAUUAGGCUUGAUCCAAAAAUAAUUACUCAAUCAAAUUGAGUUAAUUAGUGGUCAAAUCACUAAUUAAACCUCUCAUAAAUAUUGAGUCCAAAUCCGAUGGGUAAUCGGGUAUCAGAAUUCAUCGAUAUGUAACCCUGAUCGAAGAGUCCCAAACCAGUGGGACUCUUGACCCCGAUACCCAAAAUGUGUGGGACUCAUGAUCAGAGAAUCCUGAUUCUCGAUCAUAGAGUUUCAGACAUGUAGGACUCAUAGUUCACGAGCAUUAGGACUCUUCAUCAGCCAUCAGAUCAGAUAGGAACCUCUAAUGUGUGUGACCCCACAGGUUCGAACCUAAGCUGGUAGCAUAGGAACCAAUUCCUAUACUAAUCGAAGUGACCAUCU
Molecule: long non-coding RNA, 666 nt
Filed under: Elaeis guineensis (African oil palm)
Lineage: Eukaryota; Viridiplantae; Streptophyta; Magnoliopsida; Arecales; Arecaceae
Description: long non-coding RNA (EGUI_LNC041980)
Source: RNAcentral